AGCGCCCCGAAGCGCGGGGGGCGGGCACGGUGCCCUCGGCUUCUCACCGCUCCUCGUGGGUCGGGGGCCGAGCUCCCCCCGCAGCCCCUGUGCGGGUGGGGCCGGGGCGCUCCUCCUCCGCAGCGGAGAGGGAAAGGGAAAGCGAAAGGGAAAGAGCUGGCGAUGUCCCCGCGGCGGGGCCGGGGCAGGCGGCACACGCAGCCCGCAGCGGGGGGCAGCGCAGGGCGCGGGGCCGUACCUGGGAGAUGCACAGGGUGAGGUCCCACCAGGACAGCCCUCAUCAAAGGAAUGCGGUGGUUGAUUUUGGGGUCCCGUGACAUCUUCACAUCCACAGCGACCGAAGGACCGGCAGGGACAGUGGCCUCGGAGGUGGCUGGUGACUGCAGACCGCUGGAUUGCUCCAUGCCUGGCUGAGAUGUGCGAGGGCGCUGGGGAUGCUGGUGACUGCUGGUCUCCUCCUGAACCUGGAUCGCUGUGGCCAAGGCAGGCCAGGUUGGAUGGGGCCUUGGGCAACCUGAGCUGGAUUUCAGCCUCUAGAUUUCAGCCCCCAAACUCUGCUGAGCACAAGCCUUCAGCAAGGACUUCCUGCACCCAACACUGAACCAAACCCGGGCUAGACUAACUCAUCCCUGUCCAACCCCUCUGUGCAGAAGGACUUUUGCCUUCGUGGAACCACCUGGUGCAUUAGAAAUUGGUUUUGGAAUGCACUAGCAGUGACCGUCCUGCUGCUGGGCUGAGCAGCGGGGGGCUCUGCAUCGCGGGAUGGAGCCUGAGCUGCAGCCUUGGCACCCGGCUGAGUUUCCCUGCUGUCAGCCAGGGGAUGGGGACAUCAGGAGCAGGGCACAUCCAGGAACAGGAGCAGGUGCUGCCUCACUUACCCUGGGGCUUUAGAGCCCAGGCUCACCUCCAGCAAGGCGCUGGGUCCUCAGUUAGCUGCCCAACUCCUCAUAAGGUCAGAUUUCUCAUCUCAUAAAACAGGUGUGCUGCAGAACAGAGAAUAUUUAGAAGGGAUUUGGUAAGUAACAUCUGCUGCUGCACUGAAAAUUCAGUUCAAAGUGUUAAAUAGCUUUUAAAAAAAAGAAGUUUUGGUAAAAAUAAAAGGUCUUUGAAGAGGUC
This is a long non-coding RNA of Numida meleagris (helmeted guineafowl), 1116 nucleotides long. RefSeq lists it as uncharacterized. The record is from RefSeq and is a predicted model, not a curated record. NCBI's taxonomy places the organism in Eukaryota, Metazoa, Chordata, Aves, Galliformes, Numididae. The transcript has 2 exons.